GUUCUCUGACUGUUAAUUGAGACAGUGUUUGCAAAGAGAAGUGAAUUAAGUAUGGAACUAUUAUAGAAUUCAGGUUCCUCCAUGAACUGGCUGUGCAAUUUUAUGCUCCCCACUUCAGUUCCCUGAGCCUCAUUUUAUCGUCUGAAACACUGGCUCAGGGAAUUGGAAAAUGAAAAAUGGCUCUGAAAGGUUUACUGGUUUUAGGUGUCGUCUUUUGACUUCCUACCAUGGAAAGUAAGACCAUGAGGCACAGCUGCAGAGCGUAUGGACUCCAGAGAGAAAUUACUCGGGUUUAAAUCCAAUACCUAACUAAUACUUAACUUGUAUGACCUUAUACAAGUUGCUUUACUGCUGUGCAUCUCGGUUUCCUCGUGUGUAUAACGGAUGCUAAUAGUAGCUACGUCAUACAGUGAUUGUGAAGAUUAAAAAUUGAAUAUAUAAUGAGCUUAGAAUAACGCCUGGCACACAAUGCAAAAAACUGAAGCUUGGAGAAUUCAUGUCAUCACCCAAGAGCACGUAGAGCCAUGAUUCCCAGCCAGGCCUGCUGACCUCAGGGCCAUUUGCUUAAUUGUA
Microcebus murinus (gray mouse lemur) is the source of this 573-nucleotide non-coding RNA. NCBI's taxonomy places the organism in Eukaryota, Metazoa, Chordata, Mammalia, Primates, Cheirogaleidae. The record is from RefSeq and is a predicted model, not a curated record.